This 361-nucleotide ribosomal RNA is filed under the name uncultured soil bacterium. RNAcentral's name for it is "bacterial SSU rRNA". It matches the Rfam family "Bacterial small subunit ribosomal RNA", at positions 26 to 380 of the family's 1533-position model. The record is from RNAcentral.
AGGACGAACGCUGGCGGCGUGCUUAACACAUGCAAGUCGAGCGGUAAGGCCCUUUCGGGGGUACACGAGCGGCGAACGGGUGAGUAACACGUGAGCAAUCUGCCCUUCACUUCGGGAUAAGCCUCGGAAACGGGGUCUAAUACCGGAUAUGACUGCGCCAUGCAUGUGGUGUGGUGGAAAGUUCUGGCGGUGAGGGAUGAGCUCGCGGCCUAUCAGCUUGUUGGUGGGUAAUGGCCUACCAAGGCUUCGACGGGUAGCCGGCCUGAGAGGGUGACCGGCCACGACGUGGGACUGACGACACGGCCCAGACCUACCGUACGGGGAGCGAGCAGGUGGGGAAUAGUGGACAAGUGGGACGAAG